AAAGAUGUUUACAUAUGUUUUUACUGGUUAUUUUGCAAGAUGCUACUAUUCACCCUAAAGUGCAAAUUAAAGGCUUGAUAAGGUCAGUAAGGUAAACUAGGCAGGGUAGGUUAAUCAGCCAAGUCAUUGGAUAACAGGUUUGUUCUGUAGCCAACCUUAAGGGGCUAAUAAUACAAAAAAAAAGUUAAAAAUGCUAUUAUUUUAGCUAAAGAAAUAAGAGUUUCUUAAGAAUAAAAACAGCAAUGUUUGACACAGCACAACAAAAUAAUUACUAUCUCAUAUAAUUAUUUUGCCUUCAACUCCAUGCUAACUUUACUUGGCGCAUGUUGAAACUUAACUACUACACUAAAGAAAAUUGGACAAAAAAAGCAAAGAGGGUGGAGGGAGAUAAUGAAUGGUAGGGUGAAGGAGAACCGAGGUUACCCACAACAGGACACAAAGCAGGACUGAAGAACAAGAAGAAAAAGGUAAAGAUGGGGUAUAGGGUGAAAGGGAAGUAGCGGGUUUGCUGGGUAAUGGGAAGAAGAAGCAGUUAGGGUGUAGGGUGCAUGCCGGAAUUAGAUUUGGGAUAAGACAAGCUGGGAUCAGUAGGAUGCGGCAGGCGGUGACAGCUAAUGUCAAGGAUGGUUCUCCAUGAUAAGAGAGCACGAUACCAAGAAACACUAAACUAAUCCUGCCUCAGUCUUAUCGCAUACAUCUCCCUCUCGCCCUCCUUCCAUCUCUCUCUCUCUCUCUCUCUCUCUCUCUCUCUCUGCAGUGAGUAUAAUUGCACUGAUUUGUCCGGUUGAGGAGAACAGGCAGAUAAUCAAACAGCCAAACUCAAUCCCUGAUCGAAAGAUAGAGUGAGAGAGAGAGAGAGAAAAACGAAAGGAAGAAGCGAAAGUAAACUGACUGACAUUAUCGUGAUAAUCCACCGAACGAAUGAAAGAAAAGUUGCUUUCUCUUUCUCUGGAGAAUUUGAGAACACAACAGUAGAAAGAAAAGCCUACAAAUUAGCCUUGUGUCUCGCCCUCCCCUGAUUCACUUUAUCAGAGCUGCUAUCAGAGCCCAGCUGAUGGCCGACAGAAUUUCAGCCUGUUGACUAUUGUCUCAAGCUCAGCCGCUUACCAUCUAGCGACUUUAUCAGAGGCUAACAAUAGUGAUGGAGACGCAGAGCUUUGCAGAGCGGGCAAAAUGUAAGGUACAGACAGGUGAAUAAGAAAAAAGGGAGAAUGAAGAAGGGUGGGAAAACAAAAUGAGUCUGAAGGGACGAUUCGAGCACCCAAGAAAAGGCAGAACAAAAAGGUGUCUCUCAGUCUCAAAACAACAAAUCCAGCUUGAUUAAAAUAAACAAAGCCUGUAAACAGCAGUUUGAGUUUGUGUGAGCAAGCACAUCCGGAUCAUUUAAUCCCAAAAAUCAUGCUUCUAAUGUACUACCAAACCCACAGAAACAAGCUGUUUGCUCUCGAUCUGUGUAUAAAUAAGACUGCAGCACUAAUAACCCUUGUGAACUGUGUGAUUAUUGUGUGUUUAAGACUUUCUCUUCCUGCUCCAAUCAUGCGCCCCUCCCCCACGCUAAACACACAAUGAAAGCGUUUUGUUUUGUGAAUGACAUCGCUGAAUGAUUGACAGGUAUCCAUCGCUGUCAGUCACACACAUAUACACGCACACAGAGCCAGAGGGGCACAUUUAUCACGGCACACAUGCACACGUGUGCGCGCAGAUCAGAUAUCAUGGGAAAUUACUGCUCGUCUCUUUCUCUCCCAACGCACACACAGAAAAAUAAUUCUUUUCACUGCCUGUACGGGCAACCAGUCCUCUCCUCUCCCCUCUGCUAUUGAUUGCUCUUAUCUGUCAUAUUUCAAUGGAGAUUAUUGCAAUCACGGUUGGGCCAGAGAGGGUCGUGCUGAUUCUAUCACAUGGAAAUGAAUGCAGUAUAUAUAUAUAUAAAUGCGUGUGUUUGGGGUUUGUAUAGAGUGCUCUUAACCUCCUCAGCUCGCGAGAGUCAUUUAUUGUUGAAAGAGAGCGAAAGCAUGCACUUUUUGCUGUGUCGGAGAGAGAAAAACGGCGUAUAUGAUAGUCCCAGAAUGAGAGGGCAGGAAAUGAACUCAGGAAGUGACUGCAGGUAUUGAGUGCAGGGAUAAAGUGAUGACAGAUGAAAGGAACGGAGGGAAAGGAGAGCACGUUAAAUACACCUAAUAAAGUCUAAAUGGAGCUAAUCUGAGGGCUGAAAUAAGAGUUAAUCUAUGGUGCUCCAGAAUACAGUGAUCGUUCAGUGGAGCGGAGUUACAGAGGAAUUACGUUUUAUACAUCCACAAAUCCAAACAGAUUCCAAACUAAUCCAGGAAGCAACUCUUCGGUAAAUGUACAUUUGUUUGGUGUGGUGCGCUGCUGUGCAUUGUGUGUGUGUUUUCAGAGAGAGAGAAAGAGAGAGAUGCUUGGAGUAAUCCUUGUUGGCACAGCCACCAGGCGGUUUAUUUAAACAGACAUUUGAGAGAUGACAGUAAUUUCCACACCUUCUUCGCUCUCUCUCAAAGCACAUCUCACUGGAAACAGCUGAAUGGAUGAAAUAAGGUAUAAUGUGAAAUAAUGAGACUAAAAGUGAAGAAAAAAGAAGGUAUGCGCAGCAGGUUCAGCAAUUGCCCAUUCAAUUUUCAAAAUAUGCCCUCUGUAUUCAUUUCCAGGGACAUUUUUAGAUCUUCUUAAACAAAGUUUUUAUAUUUGGCUUAUUAAAUGUAAGUGUGUUUGUCUUAUAUUUGGGGUAGUUUGAUGACAAGAACUUUAGCUCAUUAUUAUUAUUAUAAGCAAUAAAUGAAUAAAUGGUUAGCUUCGGUCGAGUGGAUAAGUCUCUUAAAGCAGCAUGUGACAUUAUUAAAACUGUAAUAUUAUGACAAAUGUAUUUUAUCAUUAUUGUUUUCUGCUGCUUUUGAUAUUAUCUUAAGUAUUUCCUUGACUUUAGUCUUGUA
Danio rerio (zebrafish) is the source of this 2945-nucleotide non-coding RNA. Lineage: Eukaryota; Metazoa; Chordata; Actinopteri; Cypriniformes; Danionidae. The record is from RefSeq and is a predicted model, not a curated record.